Molecule: non-coding RNA, 903 nt
Organism: Paramormyrops kingsleyae
Lineage: Eukaryota; Metazoa; Chordata; Actinopteri; Osteoglossiformes; Mormyridae
Source: RefSeq, a predicted model, not a curated record
UUAUGGACCUAAUAAGAAACGGAGAGAAGAGACUAAAAUGGACCCCAGGGGCACUUCUUGUUUUCAAAGAUCUGAAGUGACAUUUCUGCUCUGCCUCUAUUGUGAGACAACCUGACCCCCAACUUCCAUUCCAGGUGGAAGUAGAUGCCUCUGAGGUGGGCAUCGGGGCAGUCCAGGCCAAAGGGACCCCCUCUCUGGUGCUUACAGAUCACCGCAACUUGCAAUAUCUUCGAGAAGCCAAACGUCUUAAUGCCCGCCAAGCUUACUGGGCACUGUUCUUCACCCAUUUCAACUUUCAGGUCACCUACCUCCCUGGUCCCAGGAAUGUCAAGGCAGAUGCCCUCUCUCGCCGAUUCCCCUCAACGAAGAAACUCUAACCAUUGUUACAUAUCUUGCCUUCCUCUUGUUUUCUGAGCCCUGUCACCUGGGACCUGGAACAACGUCUCCUUGACUUUAAUCAGAAUGCUCCUCCUCCUCCGGAAUGCCCGCCAGAGAAGACCUUUGUUCCCUCUCAGCUACACAAUGAAGUCCUCCAAUGGGUGCACACAUCUCUAGGGUCAGGACAUCCUGGGAUCAAAGCCACUUCCUGCAUUCUGGAGAAACACUACUGGUGGCCAAGGUGGCGUACGGAAACGGAAAGUUGCAGUCCAUCCUUCUUGCCCUUCCUGAGUCUUCUGCGCCUCCUGCCUGCCCUCCUUGUCCACCUGUCCCGUGAAGCCCCUCGUGUAUUCCCCCGUGUUCGUCAUCUGCGUCGCAGGACUGAUCUACCGGCUUCUCGACCUUCGGCUUCCCCUCUCACAACGACGACUUUGGAUUGCAUUUUGGCUUCUGGCAUUAGGAUCGGACAGCUCUUAACAAUGACUUGGACCCAGCUAUCGACUACCCCUUGUUUGAUCCCUAAUA